GUCUACACCCAUGCUGCCCUGAAUGUGUACGAUCUCAUCUGAUCUCGGAAGCUCAGCAGGGUCAGGCCUGGUUAGUACAUGGAUGGGAGACCACCUGGGAAUACCAGGUGCUGUAGGCA
RNAcentral lists this ribosomal RNA (119 nucleotides) under Pteropus alecto (black flying fox). The record is from RNAcentral. Lineage: Eukaryota; Metazoa; Chordata; Mammalia; Chiroptera; Pteropodidae.